This 399-nucleotide ribosomal RNA is filed under the name uncultured bacterium. RNAcentral's name for it is "bacterial SSU rRNA". It matches the Rfam family "Bacterial small subunit ribosomal RNA", at positions 29 to 432 of the family's 1533-position model. The record is from RNAcentral.
AUUGAACGCUGGCGGCAUGCCUUACACAUGCAAGUCGAACGGUAACGCGGGGCAACCUGGCGACGAGUGGCGAACGGGUGAGUAAAGUAUCGGAACGUGCCCAAUAGUGGGGGAUAGCCCGGCGAAAGCCGGAUUAAUACCGCAUGAGACCUGAGGGUGAAAGCGGGGGACUCGCAAGAGCCUCGCGCUGUUGGAGCGGCCGAUAUCAGAUUAGGUAGUUGGUGGGGUAAAGGCCUACCAAGCCGACGAUCUGUAGCUGGUCUGAGAGGACGACCAGCCACACUGGGACUGAGACACGGCCCAGACUCCUACGGGAGGCAGCAGUGGGGAAUUUUGGACAAUGGGCGCAAGCCUGAUCCAGCCAUGCCGCGUGCGGGAAGAAGGCCUCGGUUGUAACCG